This 72-nucleotide transfer RNA is filed under the name Bos taurus (domestic cattle). It matches the Rfam family "tRNA". From Rfam's summary of the family: Transfer RNA (tRNA) molecules are approximately 80 nucleotides in length. RNAcentral also lists the same sequence under 6 other names. The record is from Rfam by way of RNAcentral. Lineage: Eukaryota; Metazoa; Chordata; Mammalia; Artiodactyla; Bovidae.
UCCCCAAUGGCUCAGAGGGUAAAGAAUCUGCCUGCUAUGCAGGAGACACAGGUUUGAUCCCUGUGUUGGGAA